UAUAAGUGCUGCAGGUUUAAAUGAAUCAUGCAAUUGAUACCAGCAGCCGAGCGAACGAGGGAGCGCGUGGAGGGAGCACAACUUCUGGUUUUAAGAAGGGAAACCUAAAGACUCCUUGGAUAUGGCUUUCAACAACACCCUGACCUCAAGAGCUGCUCUGCUCUAUGAUGAGUGGCUUAAGGAAGCAGAUCCACGGACCGAGAACUGGCUGCUUAUGGCCUCUCCGUUCCCUCAAACGAUCAUCAUCGCUGCUUACGUCUACUUCGUG
Molecule: long non-coding RNA, 268 nt
Organism: Sinocyclocheilus grahami
Lineage: Eukaryota; Metazoa; Chordata; Actinopteri; Cypriniformes; Cyprinidae
Exons: 3
Source: RefSeq, a predicted model, not a curated record